GUUAGCGGCGGACGGGUGAGGAACACGUGGAUAACCUACCCAUAAGAUUGGGAAAACUUCGGGAAACCGGAGGUAAUAUCCGGUAAGAGUUUGAAGCACAUGGGCCAAAAGUGAACCACGGUCUUGCUGACACUUAUAGAUGGAUACGCCCUCCAUUAGCCAGUUGGUAAGGCAACCGCUUACCAAGGCAAGGAUGCAUAGCC
RNAcentral lists this ribosomal RNA (203 nucleotides) under Staphylococcus aureus. RNAcentral describes it as "partial 16S ribosomal RNA". It matches the Rfam family "Bacterial small subunit ribosomal RNA", at positions 91 to 288 of the family's 1533-position model. Lineage: Bacteria; Bacillati; Bacillota; Bacilli; Caryophanales; Staphylococcaceae. The record is from RNAcentral.